GACGAACGCUGGCGGCGUGCCUAAUACAUGCAAGUUGAGCGCUGAAGGUUGGUACUUGUACCAACUGGAUGAGCAGCGAACGGGUGAGUAACGCGUGGGGAAUCUGCCUUUGAGCGGGGGACAACAUUUGGAAACGAAUGCUAAUACCGCAUAAAAACUUUAAACACAAGUUUUAAGUUUGAAAGAUGCAAUUGCAUCACUCAAAGAUGAUCCCGCGUUGUAUUAGCUAGUUGGUGAGGUAAAGGCUCACCAAGGCGAUGAUACAUAGCCGACCUGAGAGGGUGAUCGGCCACAUUGGGACUGAGACACGGCCCAAACUCCUACGGGAGGCAGCAGUAGGGAAUCUUCGGCAAUGGACGAAAGUCUGACCGAGCAACGCCGCGUGAGUGAAGAAGGUUUUCGGAUCGUAAAACUCCGUUGGUAGAGAAGAACGUUGGUGAGAGUGGAAAGCUCAUCAAGUGACGGUAACUACCCAGAAAGGGACGGCUAACUACGUG
RNAcentral lists this ribosomal RNA (497 nucleotides) under uncultured bacterium. Its description in RNAcentral is "partial 16S ribosomal RNA". It matches the Rfam family "Bacterial small subunit ribosomal RNA", at positions 28 to 507 of the family's 1533-position model. The record is from RNAcentral.